GGCUCCCAAAAUGACCUCUACCAAUUAGUGGAUCGAAAAAGAUUGGAUAGGUUACUGGGAAGGUUAGCAAUAAGGUAAUACUGUAAGGUCACCUCCUUACUCUGUAAUAGCUGGCAUUUCUGCCAUACUGUUUAUUAAAGGUCCAACUGGCCUUUAUAAUCAACUUCUCUGCUUUUAAAUGGCCUAUAUGGCAUCGAUAUGAGUCAAACAUGAAUUAUAGUGUCAAAAUUGUGAGUUCAUCGCGACUUACUAGAGGGUUGCCAUGUGGACAUUUUGUUGUCAAGUCUGCAUGAGUGCAAUGCACGCACAUUUCGCUCUGCAAAUAGGAGUGAAAAUGGGCUUCCAUAAAGCUGAUGCCAAUUUCCAUGCAUUUCAACAAUAUUGCCAGAUGGCCAGGCAUGGAUUACAUAUGACAGUCAUUUCUGAUGCCUAUCAACUGUCAAACCACUGAUGUUGGUGAGUAUAUUAGCUAAGUUAAUCGCUGUUAUUAGCUAGCUAGUAUCUACUUUUGGUUAUACAUUAUUUGAAAAUGCUAGCGAGCCAGCCUAGCUAUGAGAUGAAAUGGGAAUGAUACUGUAGCUAGCUAAAUACACCAAGCUAGCGUGUAAUGUGAUGUAGCAUGUCACAGGAAGAUGUACAUAUCUCAUGCUAGCUAGCUACCUUGCUAACAACAGCUAACUGUAAGCCAUUGGCAUUCAGGGUCAAUACAGGGCAGGCACUUGGAGGCUAGCUAAUCAUAGGAUGUCGCCAGCUUGCUUUCAAUAAUGAUUCAACUUUAACUGGCUAGCUAACAUGAACUAACUAACUAACGUUAGCUUGCUAUCCAACUGAUUUCAACUCAGACAAAGGUACAGUAUGAUAACUAACCUGAAUUUGCUAAGUUAGGUAGCUAGCUAGCAUUCGGGUGCUUCGUCUGCUAACCGAAAACAACAUGCCUGCUCUCAUAAACGUUUAUCAUGUAAAAAAUAAAUGACUGGUGGUACUUGUCUACUACAAAUACAGCCAUGGCUCUGACAGCAAAUGGCAAAAUAUAUCAGCAAGCAUCGUCUCCUCUGAACAGUUGAUGUUGAGUUGUCUGUUACUUGAACUCUGAAGCAUUUAUUUGGGCUGCAAUCUGAGGUACAGUUAACUCUAAUGAACUUAUCCUCUACAUCAGAGGUAACUCUGGGUCUUCUUUUCCUGUGGCGGGCCUCAUGAGAGCCAGUUUCAUCAUAGCUUUUGAUGGUUUUUGCGACUGCACUUGAAGAAACUUUCAAAGAUCCGGAUUGACUGACCUUCAUGUCUUAAAACGACAGUCCAUCAUUACUUUAUCAUUGCUUAUUUUAGCUGUUCUUGCUAUUAUAUGGACUUUGUCGAUUACCAAAUAGGGCUUUCUUCUGCAUACCAACCCUACCUUUUCACAACACAAUUGAUUGGCUCAAAUGCAUUAAGAAGGAAAGAAAUUCCACAUAUUUACAUUGAACUAGGCACACCUGUUAAUUGAAAUGCAUUCCAGGUGACUACCUCAUGAUCCUGUUUGUGAUAAUGCCAAGAGGGUGCAAAGCUGUGAAGGGUGGCUACUUUGAAGAAUCUCAAAUGUAAAAAAUAUAUUAAUGUUUAACACCUUUUUUGGUUGCUACAUGAUUCCAUAUUUGUCAUUUCAUUGUUUUGAUGACUUCACUAUUAUUCUACAAUGCAAAAAAUAAAGAAAACCCCUGGAAUGAAUAGGUGUGUCCAAACUUUUGACUGGUACUGUACAUUACUUCUAAACUAGAUUUAUUUUCUUACUAUAUGUUUGAGUGAUGAUAUUUAAUUCACAGGCCACAAUACAAAACCUGGUGGAUUUGUUGUUCAGCAGCAUCGUGGUCCGUCGUGGAAUUCACCUAAAUGCCAUUGAUAAUGUAAUCAGUGCUGUGUUGUCCGCUUCCACUGUGCCAAUGGACAUGACUAAAAAUGUUUGAUGCAAGAAACCACUUUCAAAAUAAAGAUCAUUAUUAUUGCCAUACCAUUUAUUACAGAGAAUCAGAGACGUGCUACGUUCUGCCUGUUGGCUACUUAGCAUUCAAAAAGUCUCAAAAUACAACACUGCCCAUUUUAAGACACAACAAACCUGGCUAGCUUUUCAAAGAUGGCUAGAAAUGCACACAUUUUGUGCUCUUGUAUGAAGCAAUCACUCCCCCAUUAUUGACUAGAAAUGAGCUAUAACUGGGCUAAUAACUCACCUACUAGUUUAGAAUAUGAAAAAAUGUACACGUGGCUACAUGCAGCUCUCUCUUUCGUCUCAAAACAAGCGCAUCUACUCACUACUGCUCAUGCUGUAGCCUAAACACAGUCCAGUUUAAAGUGAAUGGCACAGAUCCAUAUACGGCAAUGGAUAUUUACAUAUAGGCCGACUGUAGCUCUUACUGGUUAUGGUGCACCGGUCUGUGCCUGUCAAUGCAAUAGAAUCCUACUCCAAUGCACUCUGCCUACAAGAAAAUCUCUUUGCAUACUAUGUUCGUUUUGGUAUGUAACAUUGAAAGUGAUUCGAUCACAAUUCCCACACUAGAGCGAAACGUAAAACUCUAGAAAGUUGAAGUUCACUCUAGUGCUUCUCUGAGUGGGCUGUUACUUCUUCUGCACAGCAGUCAAGGGAAGCUGCUCGCCUGCGCUUGCAGCUUUGAGGGAACAUUGCUCCUGGGCCUGAGAGCUGAAGUCAGGCUCCUUCAUGACCAGUAUCUAUGAUGAGUGGCCUGGAGCUGAUCUACUCUGCCAUGCCCAUCAGGCAUUGGCAAACACCUCAGAAGGGACAGAAGGUGAUUACUAAUAAGACAGUGUUUAGUAAUAUCACCUUUUCAAUACGUGUCACUCGUCAACUCUUCCUUGUUUUUCUACAGAUGGGCAGAAUAGAUGCUUUUUAAAUGGAGUCCUUUGACUGAAAGAAAGGUUGAUACUGAUGCCUGUAUUGGGAGAGACCUUGCAAGACAAUUAAACAAGACACAUCUAUUACUUUCUGUCUUUUGUUAUUAUUGAAUCGAGUUGUACUGUAUGUUCUUCAAACAUGUCAGGGAAGUCCUGUCUAAUACGGAACACCAUACAUGAAGGUAUAAUCUUUGCACACUGUUAUAUCAGCAGAACUACUUUUAAAGUAUAAUGUGAAGUAUGGCUUAUUCAUGGAACUGUUAGACUUAAGUUAUCAAAACACGGUUUAGAAUGUCUACAUACUGUAUGAUGGUGUGUAUACAGUAUGGAAAGUAUAUGAAUAGAGAAGUUCUACAGCAGUAAUUAUAUAAGAUGAGUCUUGACUAGAAUACGUUAUAUGCUGUACUUAUGAAGUGGGUAAAAUGGUACAUGUAAACAUUAUUAAAGUGACCAGUGUUCAA
Molecule: long non-coding RNA, 3341 nt
Organism: Oncorhynchus keta (chum salmon)
Lineage: Eukaryota; Metazoa; Chordata; Actinopteri; Salmoniformes; Salmonidae
Exons: 2
Source: RefSeq, a predicted model, not a curated record